Long non-coding RNA from Lolium perenne, 936 nucleotides. RefSeq lists it as uncharacterized. The record is from RefSeq and is a predicted model, not a curated record. Lineage: Eukaryota; Viridiplantae; Streptophyta; Magnoliopsida; Poales; Poaceae.
GAAUGUGCUCUGCUCCAGCGACGGAGGAGAGGGCACGGACCUCCCGCCGAGCCCCGCGACGAAGGGGAGGGGGCCGCGUCGGAGGGGAGUGGUGGGCGACGGAGAGGAGGGAGCCGCGUCGGAGGGGAGGGGAAGAUGACGGACCGGUCCCAGCGACGUAGGGGAGGGGACGACGUCGGACUGAAGCGUCUGAGGCGGCGUCCACGGAGGUCUCUCCCGUCGAUCUCCGCGACGGAGGGCAAAGCGGGAUGGAGGGGACAACGGAGGCGCCCGGCGAGGGAAGGAGCAUCGGCGUUGGUUGAGGCCAGCGAGGGGAGGAGCGGCGGCUGCGGCGUUGGACAUGGACGGCGAGGGGAGGAGCGGUGGCGGCGGUGGACAUGGCCAUAUCCUGUAAGUUACAGCUCCCUGAGGAACCGGAAAGUGCUUAUAGAGCGAAGCUCCAGCAUCCAAGAAUACCUUGAACUGGUAAUAUUUUCCAUACACAAGGGCAGGACAGAAAUGCCGCCUCAAGCAUCGACCAUACAGAAAGGCGUCUGGGUUUAACUCGGUAGCCUGCAAGCUGAAUCUGAAAGACUAUAAGCAAGCCAAGAGGAUUUGCACUAAGAAGGGACCAAAACCCACGAGCAGACACUAGCGGUCGGAGCAGGACGCUGCCGCUCAGGCUGACAGCUGCUUCUUUUGCUUUGACCCGGCGUCGAGCGAGGCGAUAGCCGACGAGCAGCGCCUCCAGGACUAGCCGGGGCCGGAGCAAGAACCAACUGAUCACUGAUUCUUUGACUGUCUGCUGCAGUUUGUUCUAUUGUCUAAUUCUAAUAAUGUUGUUCUGAAUUUCUUGGCAAUGCUAUCUGAACACGAUGAUGGAAUGAUAUGCUUGUACUGGUUCUGUUCAGUGAUAUGAUGCGAUUUAUGAGGAAAUGAAAAAAUGGUUACAUAAAC